CGAUUUUCGCGGUUGAAUACAUUAACAUCGAUCACGCUGAACUGCGAAAUGUAACUUAUUCUACUGCGUUCCUUAACCUAACAUAACCAUACAAGCCAUCGCUGUUUUCGAUUAUAGAAUGGGAGAGGUACGACGUCCGGAUUUAUUACACGACGACGGCUGGACGUAUGCGUUGUGAUUUCGUUCGUUAACGUUAACAGUACAGCGUGGCUUAUGUACUUAGAAAUAUGCAAUAUGGAUUUAGUUACAGUUAAACAGAAUUUACAUCUUCUCUUUAACUUUGUACAUUCAUUCUUAGAUUAAGCAGUGUUCUUUUAUCAAAACUUUCUUUCAUUCUUUUCUUUCGGUUAUGCAUUUUUUAUUAAAUGUGUUCUACAUAUAUCGAGUAGCUGAGGAUUCUGAAUUCAUUCUACUUUCAUGACAUUCUUGUAACUUUAUUUCUUUAAUUUUGCAUUAAUGAAUUUAAUGUGGAUUCUUUAAACAUUUAUUAUUGACUUGUAGAUUAAUAAUCGACAUCAUCUGGAUAAGGAGAAUUGAUGCAUAAGACUUUUAUUUCAUUCAUUGAUAAAUAUUUACUGAAAAUCAAAGAGGUUAAGUUUUACAUAAUCGUGUAAAUUGUAUCCUAGAACUACAAAUUCUUCUAUUGUCAAUUGGACGUUUGAAAUUUAUGCACAUGGUAAACGAUUACAGAUGUCAUAAACUAAUUAUAUUUUAAUCUUUGCUUUUUACCAAAUAAAUAAUUACAAUUAAGUAUAUAAACUGUUCAUCUUUUUAUGAAAUUUAAAUAUAUUACACAGAGCACAUUUAGUAUUUUUUAAAUUAAUCCUCGUUAUGAACGUUUUUUUUUCAUUUUAUUUAUAAUCUAUAUAUUAAAAAUUGAUAAGAAAUACAACAAUUAUGAUAUCGUGUUUCCCUCUUUCUCUUUGAAUUUCAUUGAAUUUCAAUAUGCAACAAUCUACAAAGUUAUGAUUUGCAACUUGAAUUUCAUUACUAGUAUAGCCUUUAUCAUUCUUAGUGAAGCUAUAUCCAGUGCCAACUGGAUUAUCAGUGUAAAUUAAGUUACGAGAAAUACUUAAGAAAUAUAAUACAUGCAUGAUGCAAGCGUGUUCGAAUCAUUCAUUGUCUAGAUAAAACACGUCCAAAUUACUUAGAGGAACAAAUACUGUGUAAGGACGACGAAUGGGGGAAGUCAUGUCAAGACCGAUCUCUUCGAUCGUCUCUUGUUUAUUUACCAAUACUUUUCGCUACAAAACUUCCUAAAUUCUCUGAAUUGUAUGACUACAUGACUGAAUUGUGUAUAUAUAUAUACGUAGUAAGAAGAAUUUAUCACGCUCGACUGGUUUUUCUUUCGUUACUUGCCGGAAACAAUAGAUAGAGGAACCUUUACGCAAUUAUCUAUAUACCAAUGUCAUCGUUUUCUUUCUAUUAAGAGUCUCUUGUAUGUAUUUAAAAAGAAACAAACUUACGUGUGCGUAAGCAACAAGAAUUUGCUAUAACGACAAUUUGAAGGUUUUAAAAUUAACCUUAUCCUUUACUUUUAUGCACGAAUUAUCGUCGAGAAAACAUCAUUUUUUGACACGAUUUUUUCAAACAAAACGAAGCGCGUAUUCGAAAGUUCGGAAGAAUCGUAUUCUCACUCGAAUAUUCAUCUUUGAAACGAUCUCGUUCGUCAAAAUCGUUAAAAAAUUAUAUCUGUAUUUAUCGUUGGCGUAAACCAACAUAAAACAACGAGCCGAUGGACUGUCAACAAAAAACGGACCUUUGAACGAAUCGGAUGGUUAUUCUCUCUUUCUAAAAGCAGAAAUUUCAAAAACAAUACUUUCCUCGUACUAACAUCGAAAAUAAUACACAUUUAUAUGAAAAAUAAUCGUACGCGGGUGCACGAACAUUUUCCUUACAAAUAUAUUUUCACGUUUACGAGCUUUAUUUCUACAGAUAUCAAAUCGAAAUGAUUAAUUUUCACAGUUUGAUGCAGCAAGAUAUUCGUUUAGAUAGUUUUUAAUUUCGUAUAUCAUAUUUUUAACGUUUCCAUAUUAUUAUACAAACAGAUCGAAACAACAAACACGUGGGGAAGCCAUUGUAAAGAUGACGUAACGCGUACGCGGGACGGUCCAUAGCUUCCUUCCUGCCGCUUAAUCCGCCAUUCCGAAUUAGUUCGUGGCACGCGUCGCAACCGAGCUUCGUCCUCUCGUUAAUUGCAGUUAAUUAGAAUAUUUUAUCCAACGUACGCUCUAAUUUUGUAUAUCGAUCGAACGUCGAAAACGCUAUUUCCACGGGUGAAUUUAUUAACAUCGAUCACGCUCAACUACGAAAUAUAUUCUGCUGCGUUCCUUAACCUAACAACCAUACAAGCCAUCGUUAUUUUCGAUUAUACAAUGGAAGAACUACGACGUUCGCAUUUUCGUCAUCAAUUUUACUUAUUUACAAUGAGAAAUGAUGUUGGACACACGACAACGACGACUGAUCGAAACUUUACAAGCACGUGGGGAAGCCAUUGGAAAGAUGACGUAAUAUGUACGUACGACGGUCCACAUCUUUCUUGCUGCCGCUUACUCCGCCAUUCUGAAUUAUUUCGUGGCGUUUGUCGCAAGCCAGCUUCGUCCUCUCGUUGACUGCAGAAUGGGAGAGGUACGACGUCUGGAUUUUCGUCUUCAAUUUUACUUAUUUACAAUGAGAAAUGGUGUUGGACACACGACGACGAGUGAUCGAAACAACAAACGCGGGGAAGCCAUUGGAAUGAUGACGUAACGCGUACGCGCGACGGUCCAUAGCUUCCUUCCUGCCGCUUAAUCCGCCAUUCUAAAUUAUCUCGUGCCAAGCGUUGCACUCGAGCUUCGUCCUCUCGUUAAUUAGAAUUAUUAGUUAAUUAGAAUAUUUUAUCUAACGUUCACUCAGAUUUUAUAUAGCGACGAAUACCAAAAAUGCGAUUUCCGCGAGUGAAUUUAUUAAUAACGAUCACGCUCAAUUGCGAAAUAUAACUUAUUCUACUGCGUUCCUUAACCUAACAUAAUCAUCUAAGCCAUCGUUCUUUCGAUUAUAGAAUGGAAGAGGUACGAUGUCCGGAUUAUCAAUUUUACUUACGUACAAUAAGAAGUGAUAUUCGAAACAGGACGACGAGUGGACGUAAAUUCUGUGAAUUUGUUCGUGAGCGUUAACGAUACAGUGUGCCCUGUGUUCCUAGAAAGAAGCAAGAUGGAUUCGGCUAGAGUUCAACAGAGUAGACGUCUUCCAUUUAAGUUUAUACAUUCAUUCUUCGAUUAAGCAGUGUUCUUUCAGCGAAACUUCUUUUAGUAAUUUGCCGUCAGAGUAUAUUUUUUGUUCGAUUGUACAUUUUUUGGGAAAUGCGUUUUAUAUACGUGGAAUAGUUGAUAAUUCGGAAUUCAUUCAAAUUGAUUAACGUUGAUGUAACAUUUCUUUAAUUUUACAUUAGUGGAUUUUACAUGGAUUCUUUCAACCUUCAUCGUCGUCAUGUGAUUAAUAAUCGACAUCAUCAGGAUAGGGAGGAGUUGUGCACGGUCGUCACCGCGCAGUUGAAUCUUUCUAGACGCAACCCACUUUUUAUCGAGCACUUGUUUAUGGUCGAGAUUUGUCUCGUACCAUUUUCUGUGCAUUUACGCUGGUUGCUCUGCCUUCGUCCAGCAUUAUAAAAUAACCGAGGACAUUCUACUCUCCUCCUUAUUUUUUAGACCUGCUUCAGAUGUCGUUAAUUGAUCUCACGUCGAGGACGAUCGAUGGGAAAAUCUAUGUACGCGAACGCGCUUAAUCUACAUUAUUUUAACGAGUCGACGUCCGUCUUGGAAUAUCACUGCGAAAUAAAAAUUGUAGACUUUUCGUUGAUAGUACAUGACAGAACGAAUACUGCUUAAAUCACGGAGUGGAUGUAUCAUUCGACGGAUCGUUUCCUGAUUGCUGUAAUGCGGUUGACAGUUCUUUAGCCAUCGAAAUGUUACAAGCACGUGGGGAAGCCAUUGCAAAGGUGACGUAAUGCGCAAGCGCAGCGGUCCACAGCCUCCUUGCUGCCUCAGAAUCCACCAUUUUGAAUAAUGAUUGGCACGUGUUAUGACCAAGCUUUUUUCUUGCAGGGCGUAGAUUCUGUAAAUUUGUUCGUCAGCGUUAACAACACAGUGUGGCCCAUGUUCCUAGAAAGAAGCAAGAUUGAUUUGGCUAGAGUUCAACAAAGUAGACGUCUUCCGUUUAAGUUUAUACAUUCAUUCUUCGAUUAAGCAGUGUUCUGUCAGCGAAACUUCUUUUAGUAAUUUGCCGUCAGAGUAUAUUUUUUGUUCGAUUGUACAUUUUUUGGGAAGUGCGUUUUAUAUACGUGGAAUAGUUGAUAAUUCGGAAUUCAUUCAAAUUGAUUAACGUUGAUGUAACAUUAUUUCUUUAAUUUUACAUUAGUGGAUUUUACAUGGAUUCUUUCAACCUUCAUCGUCGUCAUGUGAUUAAUAAUCGACAUCAUCAGGAUAGGGAGGAGUUGUGCACGGUCGUCACCGCGCAGUUGAAUCUUUCUAGACGCAACCCACUUUUUAUCGAGCACUCGUUUAUGGUCGAGAUUUGUCUCGUACCAUUUUCUGUGCAUUUACGCUGGUUGCUCUGCCUUCGUCCAGCAUUAUAAAAUAACCGAGGACAUUCUACUCUCCUCCUUAUUUUUUAGACCUGCUUCAGAUGUCGUUAAUUGAUCUCACGUCGAGGACGAUCGAUGGGAAAAUCUAUGUACGCGAACGCGCUUAAUCUACAUUAUUUUAACGAGUCGACGUCCGUCUUGGAAUAUCACUGCGAAAUAAAAAUUGUAGACUUUUCGUUGAUAGUACAUGACAGAACGAAUACUGCUUAAAUCACGGAGUGGAUGUAUCAUUCGACGGAUCGUUUCCUGAUUGCUGUAAUGCGGUUGACAGUUCUUUAGCCCACGUGGGGAAGCCAUUGCAAAGGUGACGUAAUGCGCAAGCGCGGCGGUCCACAGCCCCCUUACUGCCUCAGAAUCCUCGUUGAUUGCAGAAUGGAAGAGGUAGGACGUCUAGAUUUUCGUCAUCAAUUUUACUUAUUUACAAUAAUAAAUGGUGUUCGACACACAACAACGACUGGAUGUAGACGUGAUUUCUUUCGUUAUUGUUGACAUUACAUCGUGGCUAGUUUUCUUAAAAAUAAGCAAGAUGAAUUUAGUUACAUUCGAACAGAAUUGACAUCUUGACAGUACGAACGCUACUUAAAUCGUGGAAGGAAGCGUUCCUUGAUCUAACAACCAGCUAAGGAAUCAUUAUUUUCGAUGAUAGAAAGAAAGAAGUAUAAAGUUCAAAAUUUUCGUCAUCAGUUUUACUUAUCUAUGAUAAGCAAUGGUAUUGGACACAGGACGACAACUGAUAAGCAAUAGUUGACAUAUAUUAUUAUUUAUUUUCACGUUACCCUUUACGAUAACGUUUAGCUAAUUCUACAUUUAUUUUUUCAGGUUAUAGGCAUUGCGAUUUCGUCCGUUAUUGUUAACAAUGCAUCGUGGCCCGUGUUCCUUGAAAUAAGCAUGGUGAAUUUAGUUACAGUCGAACAGAAUUGACAUCUGUUUACACAUUCAUUCUUCGAUUAAACAGUGUUCUGUUAACGAUACUUUUACAUCCGAGUAUAUUUUUCUUCCGAUUACAUUUUUCAUUUAAUAUACAUCGAGUAGCUGAUAAUUCAAAGUUUAUUCAAGUUGGAUAACGUUAUCGUAACUUCAUUCCUUUAAUCGAUGAAAAAAUCUAUUUAAGCGAACGCGUCUUAAAUAACACUAUUUCAACGAAUCAUAUGGUCUCUCUUGAAAUAUCGCUGCGAAAUAGAAACGAUAGGCUUUUCGUCGAUAGUAUACGACAGAACGAACACUGCUUAAAUCGAAAUAUAUGUGUUAAUUGGGUCGUGGAUUCCCGGAUAGCAGUUCCUAAGUAUCACGCUCGUUAGAGCAAGAUGGUUCUUUAUUCUCUUGUCUGAUGAGGAAUACUUAACAUUUUGAUAUUUUUAUUAUAACACUAUUUUUAUUAACUUUGUUAAUUUUUUUUUUUUUUUUCUUUUAGGAAGCCUAUGUUGUAAUUUCGUUCUACUGUUUGGAUACGGAUAAAAGAACAAUUCAACGCUCUAGUUGGAAAUGGUCUUUGUAAAAUUGCGACUCAUGGAAAGCCUCCUUCCUCUAGGAUCUAUCAUGAAUAUGAAGAUGAGAAAGGAAAGGAAAGGAGCCAGGAAGAUGCGAUGGAAGCAAUAACGAAGGAUGGAAUCUUGAAGAAUCUUCCAUUGGAUUAAAAUCAGCAGGAAAACAACGCUUCCUUCAUUUUACCGAACCGAAAGAAGACUCGCCUCUCCUUCGUUCGUAUUGCUUCUUUAAAUCUGCUUAAGCUCCAACGUUCUACGUAAUUCUCGGCGAUUUUGCGCACCCCUAAGCGUUUCUGCGUGACACCCUAAGCGAUCCUGCGAUACCCUAAGCGUUUCUGUGAUACCCUGAGCGUUUCUGCGACACCCUGAGCGUUUCUGCGACACCCUGAGCGUUUCUGCGACACCCUGAGCGUUUCUGCGAUACCCUGAGCGUUUCUGCGAUACCCUGAGCGUUUCUGCGAUACCCUGAGCGUUUCUGCGAUACCCUGAGCGUUUCUGCGAUACCCUGAGCGUUUCUGCGAUACCCUGAGCGUUUCUGCGAUACCCUGAGCGUUUCUGCGAUACCCUGAGCGUUUCUGCGAUACCCUGAGCGUUUCUGCGACACCCCGAGGGUUUCUGCGACACCCCGAGGGUUUCUGCGACACCCCGAGCGUUUCUGCGACACCCCGAGCGUUUCUGCGACACCCCGAGCGUUUCUGCGACACCCCGAGCGUUUCUGCGACACCCCGAGCGUUUCUGCGACACCCCGAGCGUUUCUGCGACACCCCGAGCGUUUCUGCGACACCCCGAGCGUUUCUGCGACACCCCGAGCGUUUCUGCGACACCCCGAGCGUUUCUGCGACAUCCCGAGCGUUUCUGCGACACCCCGAGCGUUUCUGCGACACUACCUUGAGCGUACCUUGGAUACCCUAAGCGAUCUUGCAUGAUACCCUGAGCGUUUCUGCGACACCCUCAGCGUACCUGCGCAAUCCCUAACGUCGUAUUCUGUUCAAUUCUCAGCGUUUUGCGUAACCACCAGCAUUUCAAACGAUUCCCCUGCUUUAGUCUUGCGCAUAAUUGCGAUGUUUUACGAAAAAUUACAAGAUAGAAACAAAUUUGUUAGAAUCAUUGUUAUAAUAUUGUUGGAGUUUAUAGAGCGUUGAAAAAAUGAAACUUCAAUUGGAAGGUAGUACAUCAGUUGAUUUUUUCUUUCCGGAAUGUUAACAUAAAAUUGUUUUAUACUUCACAAGAUAUUACGUGCGGUGCAACGUUUAAGCGGUUGUAUUAUUGUUUAAAUCUUAUUUUAUAUCGACCAAUCGUAUAUUAUAGAUUCUUUAAAUAAUUGUAAAGUGAUAGAAAGCAUACAUAAACUUGGGUGCGUUAAGAAAACUAUUAUUUAAGUAUAAUUUUAUAUCGAACAAACGUAUAUUGUAAACCGUUUAAAUAAUUGUAUAGUGAUAAGAAGCGUAUAUAAACAAUGGUGCGUUGAGAAAAAUAUUUAAAUAUAAUUUUAACUCGAGUAAACGUAUAGUAUAGAAUGUUCAAAUAAUUAGUUAAACUAAUAGAAAGUAUACAUAAAUUCUGAUGCGUUGAGAGAAUUAUCGUUUAAUUAUAAUUUUAUACCGAACAAACGUAUAUUGUAAAAUUGUUUAAAUAAUUGUAAAGUGAUAGAAAGCAUACAUAAAUUUGAUGCAUUAAGAGAAUUUUAGACCACCGUUGGGCGUAUCGAAAACCGUCGUCCAGUAUUUAUCCGUAACAACAAACAUCUUUUUAGACAAUUCUUAGGAUAUCGCGUGACCCCAGCUUCGCGAAUAAUUGAAAUGCUCAUAUACUAAAAAAGAAAAAAUAUUAUUUUUAUCAUUGUAAUAAGAAAGCGUCGAAAAAAAGGAAGGCAGUAUGUAAGCAGAUUUCUGUUCUGCGAAACGUUCGAUUAAAAUUAUUUUCUACGUACUACGAGCGGUAUAAAGCUUGAGCGGCGGGGUUGUAUUCUGUAAAUAUUAGUUUGAUACUACCGAGCGUACAUAUGUAGCGUACAUUGCUUAAAUGAUUGUAAAACGACAAAAAAUAAAAAUGAUCUAGGUUUAGCGCGGUUCAACGCGGUCCAACGCGUGUACCGGAAAUUUUAGGGCAUGGUAGAGCGUUUCAACUACCGUGAAUCCAUUCGUGCGUAAUUAAGCGUGUUGCGUAAUUCCGAACAGAUUGGCGUAACCCUUAGAAAUAUUGCGUAAACCCCUAACCCUUAUUUAGGUAAAUUCUCUGGCUCUGCCAGACGCAACGCAGCGAUUUCGCCCACUACGUGGUUUGGCGUAAGUAUCCAUUUGGCAAGGUAUGGUUUUUUUUUACACGUAAGUCCUAUCGAUUUUUCGCAACGUCCGACGUGGACACCCAGAGUUUUGUCUUUUUCAGGUUAUCUGCAACCUCGGAGUUAUUCAUUUACCUACAUACUAUCGAGAUUACUGAAGCGAUGGUAUUUUUUUUGCAUAAUGUUAAGGGCAUUGCGUUGUUUUGAACGAAUGCGCGUAAUCAGUAGUUUCUUUUUUUUGUAUGAAGCCCACCGUAUCUAUACAAUCCUUACAAAUUUUGUGUAAACCUUUGCGUGUAUUCAGCCGAACUUCUGUGGUCUAACUUCGGUGUAAUCCAGACGCGACCCAACGAUUUGCAGUAAGUAUUUUUCUCACUUAAAUGCCUUUAUGUUCGUUCCGUAAUUCUACGCGUGUUGCGUAAAUUGCAUAGUAUCUGCAACCCGCAGCUCAUUUUCCUAGGUACCAGCGAAGUUAUUUAAACUGCGGCAUUUUUUUUUUUCAUAGUUCGGGAUAUUUUCGUUUUAUCCGAAGAAUCCGCGUUUUUAUAUAGCCUAACGUCUCUGUGUAAACCGUGGCGUGUAUUUAGCUUCAUUUUAGCGUGUCUACUUAACUCUAACGUUUCCACAUUAUCACUUAGUUAUCGACCGUAUUUUUUUUUUAACGUGAUCUCUAUUCGUCGCGUAAUUCUUCGCAUAUAUAGUAAUUUGGAGGGUAUUUAGAGCCCUAGCUUAUUUUCCAUGAUACUGGAUGAGUUACUUACCCGACAGAAUAUUUGCAUAGUCCCAGGGGUACUUCCGAUGAAUCGUUGCAAUGUCCAACUUCUUUACAACGCCAAGCGAUUUUGCGAAACCUUUGCACGAUUUGAAAGCCCUAGUGUAACGUAGCGUAACGUAUUUUUACAUAACGAUCCCGAGAUUUGUCGAAAGUACUUCUUUUUUCUUUUUUGAUAAUGGUUGUCGGAGGUUUUUCUUUUUGACAUUCUUAACAGCUGCGUUAUUCGUAGAAUGCUCUAAGCAGCUUAUUUUCGUAGAUACUAGCUAGGUUAUUGAAACGACAGCAUUUUUUCUUUUUUUCUUUUUUAUAAUUCGUAGGGCACUCGUUAGAUCCGACGAAUCUGCGUAAAUACUAGGAUUUUACUCGUAGAUGACCGUGUACUUUCAUGUGUAUCUGUAACUAUCAGCUUAUUAAUCGAAGAUUUUACCGAGGUUAUAUGAUCGACUGUAUUUAUUUUGCGUAAUCUGUGGGGCACUCGCGUUAUUUCCGAAGAAUCUGCGUAAAUACUAGGGUUUUCAGGAAAUGCAGCGUUUCUGUGUAAUCCUUGUCGAUUGGGCGUCGGUAAUAGGGCGUAUUUAGGUAGCCUCCGAGAGUGCGGCGUAAUCCGAUUGUUUCCGCGUUACCACCCUGUGAUUUCGCGUAAGUACUUGCAUUUAUACGUAAUACUUGUGUAAAUUCCUGUCGGUUUUCGAUAACUCGUGGAUGACCGUGUAGUUCCCGUGUAUUUACAACUGUCGGCUUAUUAAUCGAAGAUAUUACCGAGGUUAUAUGAUCGACUGCAUUUUUUUUGCAUAAUCUGUGGGGCACUCGCGUUAUUUCCGAAGAAUCUGCGUAAAUACUAGGGUUUUCAGGAAAUGCAGCGUUUCUGUGUAAUCCUUGUAGAUUUGGCGUCGGUAAUAGGGCGUAUUUAGGUGGCCUCCGAGAAUGCGGCGUAAUCCGAUUGUUUCCGCAUUACCAUCCUGUGAUUUCGCAUUUGGCGUCGGUAAUAGGGCGUAUUUAGGUGGCCUCCGAGAAUGCGGCGUAAUCCGAUUGUUUCCGCAUUACCACCCUGUGAUUUCGCGUAAGUACUUGCCUUUGUACGUAAUACUUGUGUAAAUUCCUGUCGGUUUUCGAUAACUCGUAGAUGACCGUGUAGUUCCCGUGUAUUUACAACUGUCGGCUUAUUAAUCGAAGAUAUUACCGAGGUUAUUUAAUCGACUGCAUUUUUUUUUGCAUAAUCCGCGGGGCACUCGUUAUAUCCGACGAAUUUGCGUAACUACUAGCAUUUUCAUAAAGUCCGGCAUUUCUGCGUAACCUACAGAUUUUACAAAAAUCUAAGUACGCAAUCUACAGCGUGGGACAUAACCCCACUGUUUUCGCUUUACCAUCCGGUGAUUAGAAGUAUUUGUCCGUUUUCUUUUUAGGUAAUCCCUCGGUUUUUCAAUAGUUCCUAACGUACCGACGUAGUUCCUAGGUUUAUCAGCAAUACCCAGGUUAUUUUCUUAGAUACUAGCGAGGUUACUUAAACGACAUUUUUGGCCUCCGAGCUUUCUCCGUAAUCUCAUUUUUUUCCAGGAUAUCUGUAACGAUCAGCUUAUUAAUUCUAGAUAUUAACGAGGUUAUUUAGUCGAUAGCAUUUUUGAAUAGUCCUUGAGGCGGUUGCAUUAUUUACGUAGACUAUACGAACUACCAGCAUCUUUAUAAAGCUCAUCGUUUCUGGGUAACCCUUACAGAUUUUGGCUUAUCCGACUGGCGAUUUGAAGUUAUCCGUAGUACCCAUCUUAUUUCCCUAGAUUCUAGAGAGGUUACUUAAACGACAACAUUGUUGCAUAAUCCCAGGGGCAUAUUCGUUAUUUCUUACGAAUCAAGUAACGACCAGCGUCUUCAUAAAGUGCAGCAUUUCUGUAUAUUCUCGUAGAUUUGUCGUCAAUCCCAGAACGUAUUUAGGUGGCCUCCGAGCGUCAGGCGUAACGUCAUAGUGUCCGCAUAAGCGAAUAAAUUUGUUUUUACCUAAUGCUUGUCAAAAUGCUUGUCGAUUUUGCAUAAUUCCUAAAUGUCCGUGUAAUUUCCACGGUAUCUUCAUCCACCAACUUACUAAUCCUAGAUAUUAACGUAGUUAUUUAAUAAACAGCAAUUAGCAUAGUCCGUGGGGCGUUUGCGUUAUUAUCGAAAAAUCGGCGUAACCACCAGCAUUUCCAUAAAGCUCGUUUCUAUGUAACCCUUACAAAUUUUGCAAAAAUUCUAGUACGUAUUA
Vespula vulgaris is the source of this 11394-nucleotide long non-coding RNA. RefSeq lists it as uncharacterized. NCBI's taxonomy places the organism in Eukaryota, Metazoa, Arthropoda, Insecta, Hymenoptera, Vespidae. The transcript is spliced from 14 exons. The record is from RefSeq and is a predicted model, not a curated record.